CGCAAUGGACGAAAGUCUGACGGAGCGACGCCGCGUGAGCGAAGAAGGUCUUCGGAUCGUAAAGCUCUGUUGUUAGGGAAGAAUAAGUACCGUUCGAAUAGGGCGGUACCUUGACGGUACCUAACGAGAAAGCCACGGCUAACUACGUGCCAGCAG
Molecule: ribosomal RNA, 156 nt
Filed under: uncultured Bacillota bacterium
Lineage: Bacteria; Bacillati; Bacillota
Description: uncultured Firmicutes bacterium partial 16S ribosomal RNA
Rfam family: Bacterial small subunit ribosomal RNA
Source: RNAcentral